RNAcentral lists this unclassified non-coding RNA (795 nucleotides) under Zea mays. RNAcentral's name for it is "misc RNA Zm00001eb126730". Lineage: Eukaryota; Viridiplantae; Streptophyta; Magnoliopsida; Poales; Poaceae. The record is from RNAcentral.
UUGAUAGGAAAUGGGGUUAAGACUAACAAGGGUUUUAAGGAAAUCCACCUUAACUCUGUUGCUAAAAAUGUCUCUGAGUUCUGUGGCCAAGAAGUAACAGGCCAACAAGUGUACAAUCACCUUCGUAAGUGGAGGUCUAGGUGGGUCAAGGUUUGCAAACUGAAGGACAUUAGUGGUGCUCUUUGGGAUGAGGAUAACUUUGUCAUAAGCUUAGAAGAGGGUCAUUAUGCUGCUUACAUCAAGGAUCACCCAAAAGAUGUUGAUUACCUCAAUAGGCCCAUAGAGAACUAUAUGCUUAUGCAAAUCAUAUUUGGAAGUGGGGUUGCCAUAGGUAAGUUUGCAAUGGGUUCAAAUGAGCCUUUGGGCAAGCCAACUGACAUUGUUGACAUCCUAGAUGAUGGCAUUGAAGUGACCUCAAAGUUUGUUGAUUGUUCCAACCUAACUAAUAAGGGGAAGACUGUGGACAAGGGUACCCCUGGUGAGUCCAAUGAUAACAAGCCUAACUUAGGGAAGAAGAAGAGGUUCAUGACUGAUGAGGAUGUUGUUGUGUUCAAUGGGAUGAAAGAAGUUGUUUCGGAUGUUGCUACUGUUGUCCAUGAAAGCAUCCAUGUUGAAGCAGCACCUGGGAUCUAUAAUGCUGUAAUCAACUGUCCUGGGUUCUCUGGGGAGGCUCUCAUGUAUGCCCUUAACCACAUGAUGGAGCACAAGGCCACAUCCCUAGUGUUCCUGGACAUGACUCCUGAUGAUUGUGACCUAUGGCUCAAGACUUUCCUAGCCAAGCACUACCACAUCUGA